Molecule: long non-coding RNA, 1048 nt
Filed under: Pogona vitticeps (central bearded dragon)
Lineage: Eukaryota; Metazoa; Chordata; Lepidosauria; Squamata; Agamidae
Description: lncRNA (ENSPVIG00000005026.1)
Source: RNAcentral
AACAGGAACUCAGGGGGCCCCAAAAAGCCUAACAACGGCAGCGGGAGCAAUGCAAAAGGGGCCCAGCCCAAUUAAAGUACAGGUUUUGGAGGAAUGGUUGAGGGUUUACCCUCGCCGUGAAGAUGCUAAGUAUUUAUUGGAGGGUUUCAAAUACGGUUUUAGAAUACCAGCAAAAGGGGACCGCCAGGCCUUCAUGGCCCGGAACCUCCGAUCAGUGUUAGGUAUGGAAGACAUAGUGCAGCUAAAAAUCAACAAGGAAGUUAAGGAGGGCAGGGUCCUCGGCCCCUUCCCUAAGCCGCCUAUGGCUAACCUCAGAGUCUCGCCACUAGGUAUAGUGCCCAAGAAGGCCCCAGGGGAAUUCCGGUUAAUCCAUCACCUGUCCUUUCGGGAGGGGGCAUCAGUGAACGAUGCUAUUCCACAGGAAUUAUGCACGGUCAGGUACACCUCCUUCGAUGAUGCAGUGAGAAUGAUCAGGAAAUGUGGUAUAGGGGCUGAACUGGCAAAAUGUGACAUUAAAUCAGCCUUCAGGCUGCUGCCAGUUCACCCUCAGGAUUUUAACUUGUUAGGCUUCCAGUUUGGUGGCAAAUUUUUUGUGGACAGGGCCCUACCCAUGGGAUGCUCAGUGUCAUGUGCCGCUUUUGAGAAGUUCAGCACUUUUAUUGAGUGGAGACUUAGACGCAUGGUAAGAAGCAAUUCAACAGCUCAUUACCUCGAUGACUUCCUUUUCUGCGGAAAGGGAGGCACAGGCAGAUGCGGUGUCAUACUCCGUUCAUUCCAAGCAUUGGCAAGAGAAUUAGGGUUGCCCCUAGCGGAAGACAAGACAGAGGGCCCGGCAACAUCCCUAACCUUCCUGGGCAUAGAGCUCGACACGGUGCAGCAAACAUCGAGGUUACCUCGGGACAAGUUGAUUGACCUGAGGGCACGAAUUGAAGCUCUAUUGCACAAAAGGAAGGCAUCCCUUAGAGACCUCCAGGAAAUAGUUGGCCAUUUGAACUUUGCUUGCAAGGUCGUGGCUCCGGGCCGAGCAUUCCUCAGGCGGCUAUGCACA